RNAcentral lists this ribosomal RNA (301 nucleotides) under uncultured bacterium. Its description in RNAcentral is "partial 16S ribosomal RNA". It matches the Rfam family "Bacterial small subunit ribosomal RNA", at positions 509 to 807 of the family's 1533-position model. The record is from RNAcentral.
CAGUAGCCGCGGUAAUACGUAGGUGGCAAGCGUUGUCCGGAAUUAUUGGGCGUAAAGCGCGCGCAGGUGGUUUAAUAAGUCUGAUGUGAAAGCCCACGGCUCAACCGUGGAGGGUCAUUGGAAACUGUUAAACUUGAGUGCAGGAGAGAAAAGUGGAAUUCCUAGUGUAGCGGUGAAAUGCGUAGAGAUUAGGAGGAACACCAGUGGCGAAGGCGGCUUUUUGGCCUGUAACUGACACUGAGGCGCGAAAGCGUGGGGAGCGAACAGGAUUAGAUACCCCCGUAGUCCCUGUCUCUUAUAC